GUGCUUGCUUCAGCAGCACAUAUACUAAAAUUGGAACGAUAAAGAGAUUAGCACGGCCCCUGCGCAAGGAUGAAAUUAGUCAGUGGCUAGAGAAAACAACACAUACAU
This is a small nuclear RNA of Saimiri boliviensis boliviensis (Bolivian squirrel monkey), 108 nucleotides long. NCBI's taxonomy places the organism in Eukaryota, Metazoa, Chordata, Mammalia, Primates, Cebidae. The record is from Ensembl.